UACGUAGGGGGCUAGCGUUGUCCGGAAUCAUUGGGCGUAAAGCGCGUGUAGGCGGCCCGGUAAGUCCGCUGUGAAAGUCGGGGGCUCAACCCUCGGAUGCCGGUGGAUACUGUCGGGCUCGAGUACGGAAGAGGCGAGUGGAAUUCCUGGUGUAGCGGUGAAAUGCGCAGAUAUCAGGAGGAACACCAAUUGCGAAGGCAGCUCGCUGGGACGUAACUGACACUGAGGCGCGAAAGCGUGGGGAGCGAACAGG
RNAcentral lists this ribosomal RNA (253 nucleotides) under uncultured bacterium. Its description in RNAcentral is "partial 16S ribosomal RNA". It matches the Rfam family "Bacterial small subunit ribosomal RNA", at positions 524 to 776 of the family's 1533-position model. The record is from RNAcentral.